RNAcentral lists this ribosomal RNA (429 nucleotides) under Pseudomonadota bacterium. RNAcentral describes it as "Proteobacteria bacterium partial 16S ribosomal RNA". It matches the Rfam family "Bacterial small subunit ribosomal RNA", at positions 355 to 776 of the family's 1533-position model. The record is from RNAcentral. Lineage: Bacteria; Pseudomonadati; Pseudomonadota.
UGGGGAAUAUUGGACAAUGGGCGAAAGCCUGAUCCAGCCAUGCCGCGUGUGUGAAGAAGGUCUUCGGAUUGUAAAGCACUUUAAGUUGGGAGGAAGGGCAGUAAGCGAAUACCUUGCUGUUUUGACGUUACCGACAGAAUAAGCACCGGCUAACUCUGUGCCAGCAGCCGCGGUAAUACAGAGGGUGCAAGCGUUAAUCGGAUUUACUGGGCGUAAAGCGCGCGUAGGCGGCUAAUUAAGUCAAAUGUGAAAUCCCCGAGCUUAACUUGGGAAUUGCAUUCGAUACUGGUUAGCUAGAGUGUGGGAGAGGAUGGUAGAAUUCCAGGUGUAGCGGUGAAAUGCGUAGAGAUCUGGAGGAAUACCGAUGGCGAAGGCAGCCAUCUGGCCUAACACUGACGCUGAGGUGCGAAAGCAUGGGGAGCAAACAGG